This is a long non-coding RNA of Polypterus senegalus (gray bichir), 761 nucleotides long. RefSeq lists it as uncharacterized. The transcript has 7 exons. Lineage: Eukaryota; Metazoa; Chordata; Cladistia; Polypteriformes; Polypteridae. The record is from RefSeq and is a predicted model, not a curated record.
ACGAGACAGUGUCACGGGACAGUAGCGCGCUCACAGACCAGUGUCUCAGCUCUACGGGCUAAUCCCUCACCUUGCAUUAACAGGUUACUGAGGUCCUUCAUUCUGUUGGCACUCCGUAGCACGCCGGGAUGAGGUCCAGUAUAGACCGCUAGAGGCACAGAACACUCAUUACAACAGAUAGGAGCUAUUACGUGACACACUCAUGACUGCACAACAGUGGAUGCUGAGCCUUGAGAGCCAAGUGAUGUGUUUGAGGGGCGAAGUUCCACCACAUCAAUACGACCACCCUUUACAAUCUGAAACGGCUUCUCAAAGGGCUUCCCCUGGUCUGUCCAAUCGCAGAGCAUUUUUGUGAGGAAGAAAGUAGCACGGCGUUUAAAAGCAACUCCACACAAAGUAUUCUGCAGGGGCACUGACAGCCACGGAAGAGCCUGAGACAGUUGAGAAAGUUCUUCAAGACUUUUGAGUUGCCUUUUGGAAUGGAGACAUCAUCCAAGCUUCUGGAGACGUGGGUCACAUUCUUCAAGAUUAAACUCGUCAGAAAGCCAAGAACAUUACUCAGACUUACUGCUGAGCUCACUUAUCCAGUCUCCCGAGAAUACUCAUGAUCCAAGAGGAUUGUAAAGAAAAGCAUCCAUGAAGCUGUUGGCCAUGUUGUCAAAUUUCACAAGAGCACAUCAAUCAGACCGAGGAGCGAACAGUCCUACCUUCUGGCAGCUGGUGCACUGGUUCUCCCAUGUUUGCAUUCUUCAAACUGCAGG